UGGUGGAGCGAUUUGUCUGGUUUAUUCCGUUAACGAACGAGACCACAACCUACUAAAUAGUUCGCACUUGGGUUCGCUCAAGUCGUUGUGACUUCUUAGAGGGACUAUCGGUGUGUAGCCGAUGGAAGUUUGUGGCAAUAACA
RNAcentral lists this ribosomal RNA (143 nucleotides) under uncultured eukaryote. RNAcentral's name for it is "partial 18S ribosomal RNA". It matches the Rfam family "Eukaryotic small subunit ribosomal RNA", at positions 1299 to 1458 of the family's 1831-position model. The record is from RNAcentral.